AAAUGUGUUUAUGUUGGUGAGUAAUGAAGAGAUAACUUCUGUAAAGGAAGUUGUGGAGAAGGUCACUAGAAACAAGCCUCCUCUUCCUCUUCCUCCUUCUCCUCUUCCUCCUCCUCCUCCUGCUCAUUAUUCUGAUAAUCCACAUCUUCCUGAUUCUUCGAAUUCCUCCUCUGCCUCCUGCUUCUUAUACCUACUUCUACUAAUCUUUUCUCCAGCUCCUAAUGCCCUCUUCCUCUUAUUCUCUUCUUUUCUGACUCUUCCACUCUUUCCUCAUAUUCCAUUUUUUUUUUUUGCUCCUCUUCCUCCUUCUGAUUCUCUCUUCUACCUAAUUCUUCUCCAGCUUUUUUCCCUUUCUACUCUCCUCCUCCUCCGCCUAUUCCUGCUCCUCCUCCUGCUGCUGCUGCUGCUGCUCCUCCUCCUCCUGGAGCACUUCACCCUGGUCCCCCUGAAGUUCAUCAACAGGUGGAAGACUAACACUAGUGUGGUGGGUCAGGUGACCCCAGGUACGCUGUAGUGGAGGACCGUCAAGGGGAAGGUCUGAGGAACGUGUUGGUGAUCCGGGACGCCGUCAGCCAUGACUUCGGCGCCUACAAUUGCUCUGUAGUAAACGAAUACGGCGUCGCCAGGAAGCAGAUCAGACUUAACGAAGAAACAGGCAGAGUGCCGGUGGUGCUGGUUGCUGGAGGCGUGACGGUGCUGCUGGUCAUGGCUGUGGGUCUCUCUUCACUCUUCUUCUGCAAUAAGCGACAACCUGAGGGUAAAGGAGAUAUUGAAGUGUAAUGAAGGAAGAUGUUGGCAGUGAUGAAGGAAGAUGUUGGCAGUGAUGAAGGAAGAUGUUGGCAGUGAUGAAGGAAGAUGUUGGCAGUGAUGAAGGAAGAUGUUGGCAGUGAUGAAGGAAGAUGUUGGCAGUGAUGAAGGAAGAUGUUGGCAGUGAUGAAGGAAGAUGUUGGCAGUGAUGAAGGAAGAUGUUGGCAGUGAUGAAGGAAGAUGUUGGCAGUGAUGAAGGAAGAUGUGGCAGUU
Molecule: non-coding RNA, 1020 nt
Organism: Cherax quadricarinatus
Lineage: Eukaryota; Metazoa; Arthropoda; Malacostraca; Decapoda; Parastacidae
Source: RefSeq, a predicted model, not a curated record